Molecule: long non-coding RNA, 1354 nt
Filed under: Sus scrofa (pig)
Lineage: Eukaryota; Metazoa; Chordata; Mammalia; Artiodactyla; Suidae
Description: lncRNA (ENSSSCG00070023077.1)
Source: RNAcentral
AGCAGACCCGGGUUGAACCUGACCCUUGGCUCUGGAACCUCAGGGGGAAAGUCGGCGCCUGCCGCCCUUCCGGGCGUGAGCCCUGCCCUAUAGCCGCUCACCUGAGCUUCCCCGUCGUGCUUGUUGCCUUGGAGACCAGGAUUCCACCUGCAGGCCCCACCAUCAGCCUCUCUCGCUCGCUGGCUCCCUGGGCCUCUUUCUGUGGCCCUUGGCGGGACCCCUGGCUCCCACGCCGCCCAAAGCCUGGCGGCAUGUGCGCAUGCGCACACCUACCUGCUCACUAAAGACCGUUCCACAGGCCUUCCCUCAAACCGCUCCUUUUCUAGCCCAAGUAUUCUUUUUAUUUUUCAGUCAAGUGGACCUUGACAAGCCUGUCCCCUAGGAUUACAUGGAGGAGUCCGAAGGAGCAGAUGAUGGUGGGCACACGCCCAGCUCGGAAAUGAAGAACUCUGGCUGGUUCAUGAGACCAAGAGGUAAAAAAAAAAAAAAAAAAAAAAAAAAAAGCCAAAAAGACAUAUCUUCUUUUUUUUUCAGAAGCUGUAACCAAUAAAAGCUUUUGAAAAUCCUCUUGGAGCUAUGAUUUCCGAUGUCAGAGCUGAUGAGUCUUAAAGCUUGAAAGGGGCCAUGUAAGCUUGAAUGAUCAAGUUCAAUGCCUCAUCUAAAAAGGAAAUGGACACUGAGAAAGGACAAGUCUUCUGCAGAAGGACAUUGAGAGGUAGCAGAGCCUAGAAAAGAAGUUGGGUCUCCUGACACCCAGGCCAUGACUGGAGCCAUGUAUAGACAGGUAGGUUUUGAAGAAAGAAGAGCAGAGUGCUCAGGAAUAGUGCCCUGGACUCCUAGGAACUAGCAAGACUUUCCCAUCAGGCAGUUUGGUAUUUAUCUAAUUAUCUCAAAUACCAUCUAUAUGUGUCAGACCUUCCCAGGAUGGUGGGGUGAAAAUAGCAGUGGCCCUCCCUAACCACUGGAAUCUUCAUUUAGACAGAGACCGGGCAGCAAGAAGAUUUACCCAGGUUGCUUUAAGGGAGGUUUCCUUGCCCAGAACAGUACAUAAACCUUCUCAUCCGGAAGAUCCUCAUUUUUCUCAGCCUGACUCCAAUCCAUUUGCCAAUCCAAAACAGAGUGUGUUACGCAUUAAAGCCACAGGAUCCUUUAUGGGUAACACAUGGAGCUAUAAUAUCUCGUAACCCAGUGGUAUUGUCCCUAGAGUUAAUAUAACUCCGUUAACAUAUGUUUCUGCUAUUCCCAUCCCGAGAUACUUGUAUUGAAGUAUAUUACGUACAGUGUAUGGUUAGUUGAAAGAUACAGGGGGUAUAUUAAAAAAUAAAUCUGUUUAUAUGACCUAUGCUGAAAUACA